CCCUUAGAUGUUCUGGGCUGCACGCGCGCUACACUGAUACUUUCAGCGAGUCCACCACCUUGCCUGGGAGGGUGGGGUAACCUCUGGAAAGUGCAUCGUGAUGGGGAUCGAUUAUUGUAAUUAUUAAUCUUCAACGAGGAAUUCCUAGUAAACGCAAGUCAUCAGCUUGCAUUGAUUACGUCCCUGCCCUUUGUACACACCGCCCGUCGCACCUACCGAUUGAAUGGUCCGGUGAAAUCUCGGGACGGCGGCUUGGUCGCUUGCGUCCGACUGCUGAAACUUGAUUAAACCAUAUCAUUUAGAGGAAGGUGAAGUCGUAACA
This 322-nucleotide ribosomal RNA is filed under the name uncultured eukaryote. Its description in RNAcentral is "partial 18S ribosomal RNA". It matches the Rfam family "Eukaryotic small subunit ribosomal RNA", at positions 1470 to 1796 of the family's 1831-position model. The record is from RNAcentral.